CCGGUGCCGCCCGACCCCUCCUCAGCGCUGAGGGGGCAGGUAACGGUCACACAGCGGCGGGCGGCGGCGGCCGGAGGGGACCGGCUGGAGAACGGCGCUUGGGGCCCUGGGAGGCGUCUGGCUGCCGGUCCCUGGGUGCGCUCGCCCCGCUGCUUCCCCUUAGGACUUAGAGAUCUGGUUCGAAGCCGGGAGGCGGUACCGCCUCAGCUGCUCGCCUUCCCAAGCCUCGGUGAGCUGGUGCGCCACGCCGCUCUCCUUCGCAGGGGCAAAGGUAGCGGCUGAAAACGGGAAGGGCUGGCUGCUAGAGAUUGCCCUGUGCCCGGGCGCGGCUGAGGCCGUUUCGGACCACAGCCGAGGCGCGACAGGAAAGGGUUAGCCCUAACCCCUUCAUUCUCUACCGGGCACCAGGCCCCAGAGUGCCAAUAUCCUGCGGUGUCGAACAGCUCGCAUUUGAUAAGUUUCUCAAAAACGCCAUUGUCCGCUUCGCAGUCCCCGCAUUUGACAGGGAUAACACUGCUUGUUUGGCACAGCAGCUACAGAAAUGUGUAACUCCUUGUUUACCCUGUGGAGCACAAAUUCACCUCCAGAACAUGUAACUUUCUUCCAGCUGAAGAGGGUAUACAAUUCUCAGCUUCACAGCAAUUCACCUCAUCUUGUCUAGCAUGAUACUGGAUGCAGUCCUGGAACAAUGCAGAGAGAAUUUAUAACCUGGGAGGAGUACUCUCACACAAGGGAGAGAUGUGAAGAAGUGAUGUGCUCAGGCUGAUCACUUCCAUACUAAUGGACAACAAUGAGCAUUUAAACGCUAAUGGAAAUCAAUUGCACAAAAAAGCAGAAAGAAGACAUGUAGAUCUUCACUGGUACAAUGCCUCAACUGCAUCAAAAUCUAUUUCAGUACAACGGGGGAAUUAGCCUGUUAAAUUGUAUAAUGAAAACAUGAGUCAUGUCAAGUGAAAGGACUAAAAGGGUGAACCAUGUGAUGAAGUACAGAAACACAGGCACUUUGGAAGAAUGCUAGAAUUCUCAAGUUUGAGAUAGUGAUAAGAGAUCUGAUUGUUGAAUCAAGGCUUCUUCAUGUACACAGAUGUUUUUGUUUGUUUUGAGCGUUUAAUCAUAGACCCACUUCAACCAAUGGUAAUAACUUUGUCAUUUAUCCAAGAAGCUGAGCAGAAGUUACGUAUUGUUUCAUUCAGGUAAAAGUGAUAGUCAAAGCUCCAAGUUUAAGGAAAGGAAAAAUGGAUAGAUUUCUACAAAAGAAAAAAAAAAAAAAAAGAAAAAAGAGGUGUUUGAAAAGGUUUUCUGCCCCAUAAGCACUUUCAAAGCAAAGCUUCCUAGUAACUGUUAAAAAUAAAACUGGAUCUUUGUGUUAGAAUAUUUAGAAAUAAAUGUAUUGAUUUUAUUAUAAAGCU
Long non-coding RNA from Tyto alba (common barn owl), 1409 nucleotides. RefSeq lists it as uncharacterized. NCBI's taxonomy places the organism in Eukaryota, Metazoa, Chordata, Aves, Strigiformes, Tytonidae. The record is from RefSeq and is a predicted model, not a curated record. The transcript has 3 exons.